Hypanus sabinus (Atlantic stingray) is the source of this 2628-nucleotide long non-coding RNA. RefSeq lists it as uncharacterized. The record is from RefSeq and is a predicted model, not a curated record. The transcript is spliced from 3 exons. Lineage: Eukaryota; Metazoa; Chordata; Chondrichthyes; Myliobatiformes; Dasyatidae.
GAGGUGUGGUUGGAAUCGUGUGAAAGUUGAAGUGUAAGCAGGAAAAUUGGAUUAGAGGAUACGAGUGCGUGAAGGUUGAUGAUGAUGAUGCUUUGGGCCAAAGAGCAUGUAUUGGUUCCAUACAAUUGUGCUAGGAGGCCAGAUCAAAUCCAGGAUCUAAGACCAGGGAUAACGUCUAGUUGGUACAAUCCCGAAGAUAGUGGUAUUCUCAUGCACCUUGUCUUUCUCAGCAGAAGUUAUGAAUUUGUGAGAUGACAUCAGAGUAACAUAGGUGAGUAAAUGCAAGUAAUUUUGUAAAUUAAACUAGGGUUAAAUCAGUGGGCUGCUGGGCAGUGUGGCUUUAAGGGCCAGAAGGUCCUGUUCUGUGCUGUAUCUCUAAAUAAAUAAAUAAAUUGAAGAAACUGUUCCAAAAGCUCAGGAGUUCAAGCAACAACUGUGGUGACAGGACCCGUUAUAGAUGACCUGAACUGAUGGAAGGUCAUCGACGUGAAAUAUUAAUUCUCUCCCCGCAGAUGCUGCCUGGCGCACUAAAUCCUUUCUGCGUUCCUGUUUUUAAACCAGUAGUUUAUUUGUCCUGUAACUUAACCACUGCGUCAUUUUUCUCCAUUUUAACCAGCUUUUUCUCCAUCCUUUCCGCCCGUAAUUACUCGCCAAUAGCAUCUGCAUUCAGCAACCACGCAUGCAUGUUUCUGUCACAUGACGACCUUUGUCAGAAUAAAACCGCACGCAAACACCAAAGGAAAAUAUACAAUAUAAUAAACUAAAGAGCUUUCACCUUGUUUUUCACGGCAAGGCAUUGUGCAAAAGAACCUGCGGUGUGAUCUUGACCCGCGACAUAUUUACUAAGUGCACAGCCACAAAUAACAUCUGUAACCAUAACUUCCCUCAGUGGGGGUUGGAGCUGCAUUAAAGUUGCACAAAAAUGAAGCGUCUGGUAGCUUCCUCGGGUCGGGAGUGGGAAGGGGAAGCGCGGGGGAGGACGGGUUGAGAUGCAAAGCGACAGAACGAAGUGAACGGAGUGAGUUCUGCCCCAGACACCAGCACCGGCUCAAAGGUAAACAAGGUGAAGACAGCAGAACACACAAAAUGUUGGAGGAAUUCAGCAGGUCAGCCCAGUCAGCAUCUAUGAGAAGAAUAACAAUCAACAUUUCAGGCCAAGACCCAUCAUCAGGACUAGAAUGAAGAAGGUAGAAGCCAAAAUAAGAAUGUGGGGGAGAGAAAAAGAGCACCAUGUGAUAGGUGAAACCAGUCUCAUAUGGUCUAACUGGAAGUAAGAGAAAUUGAUGUUCAUGCCACCAAGCGGGAAACUACCUGGACUUCAUGUUAUCAGGUUGGAGGCUGCCCAGUCCUUUUCAUAGAUUCUGCCUGACCUGCUGAGUUCCUCCAGCAUUUUGUGUGAGUUGCACUGUAUUUCCAGCAUCUGCAGAAUUCUCAUGUGUUUAUGACAAUAGAUGAAUGUUCAGCUUAAUCUAUGAAAAUUGCAGAUUGAGACCAAAGAAGGCAUUAAGUGAUGAUCUCAUGUUGUUAAAGGUCUCUCCCUGCCAUUUAAUGCACAGUAUAAGACUGGUCUGUUUUGUCACUUAACAUUCUGACUAGUUGUACAUUUACGAACACUAAAACAAAAGGGGGAUGUUUUGGGUGUCUGGAGUUGGUGCUGAAAGACUUUUGGAAUGGAUGCAGAGGGUGUUUCUUCACCCACAUUGGCUGAACAGAGGAGUGCUUUUAGUAAUGGACUGAAGACAAGUGUGCUGCUCCAAAGAGGGCUAUAUGAGGUCAUUCAUACCCGCAGCCAUUAGGCUCUACUCUGAGUCAACCUGUAACCAGGGAAGUGAUGACCCCCUCCUGUUAGACUGUUUGAGGUAACUUUUUUUUAAUUCUUUCUACUUCUCUUCUAAUAUUGAUACCUAUGCACUUGUAAUGCUGCUGUGACACUGUAAUUUCCUUUGGGAUCAAUAAAGGAUCUAUCUAUCUUUGGGUUCUUUGACAUUUUCUUUUUGCUGCUGUUAUAUGCCUUUAACUCAUCUACAUUAUUACACUGGAAGCUUUGGAAAAGUGUUCAUCCUUUACCUGUAAGGGGUUCCAAUUAACCAUAAGCAUCGGGAGGUCAAUAUUAUGGCCCGAGUCACUGCUACAUAUCAUCAGUUAAUAUUGACAAUAUUGCUUCAUGUAGCUAUGCUCUAUCAUCACCAGCAAUUUGUCUCGAAUCAAAACAUGCAAAACCUGCAGCUGCUAUGGAGCUGCACUCCGAGGGAGUUUUGAAAAAUAGAAACUUGCAAGUCUGCCAUACCUGUACCUACAACGUAUGGCCCUACAGUACAGAAGUCUAGACAACAGGCUUAAAGAAAGCUUUAUCUUUUCACCUUUAUUGCUCUUGGCAUCUCUUCACAGUACAAACAAAAAGGGUUCUGAAGUACGCUUAGUCCACUAAAAUACCGCAAUUACUAAGCCUAAGGCAUCUGUGCAUAAUUAACUAUGUUCAUUGGAUCGAUCACUGGUCCUCAGCCUUUUCCUGCUUGUGACCCACUUGUGACUUUCAUUUACCUCUGUGGCCCCCACCUUCCAUGGUCUCCGCUAGUUGCUAAAGUUUUUUUUUAGCUGUACUAUUCUAAUAUACAGUCAAUAUUUAUG